AUUCACUAGUGAUUGGCGUCUGACUAGAACCGAUCCCACGGUGAGGGACGAAGCCCUGGGGCGCAAACGGGAUUAGAUACCCCGGUAGUCCAGGGUGUAAACGCUGCGGGCUUGGUGUUGGGGGUCCUUCGUGGGCGCUCAGUGCCGGAGAGAAGUUGUUAAGCCUGCUGCUUGGGGAGUAUGUCCGCAAGGAUGAAACUUAAAGGAAUUGGCGGGGGAGCACCGCAACGGGAGGAGCGUGCGGUUUAAUUGGAUUCAACGCCGAAAAACUCACCAGGAGCGACGGAUAUAUGAAGGUCAAGCUGAUGACUUUACCUGAUUUUCCGAGAGGUGGUGCAUGGCCGUCGUCAGUUCGUACCGUAAGGCGUUCUCUUAAGUGAGAUAACGAACGAGACCCUCACCUUUAAUUGCUAGUCCCUUCUCCGGAGGGGGCGCACAUUAAAGGGACCGCUGACGCUAAGUCAGAGGAAGGUGAGGUCAACGGUAGGUCCGUAUGCCCCGAAUCUCCUGGGCAACACGCGCGCUACAAAGGACGGGACAAUGGGCUUCCACACCGAAAGGUGGAGACAAUCCCGAAACCCGUCCAUAGUUCGGAUUGUGGGCUGUAACUCGCCCACAUGAAGCUGGAUUCCGUAGUAAUCGCUUGUCAACAUCAAGCGGUGAAUAUGCCCCUGCUCCUUGCACACACCGCCCGUCAAACCACCCGAGUUGGGUUUCAGUAAGGAUAUCUCUCAUUGGGGUUUUCGAACUGAGAUUCAGCAAGGAGGGUUAAGUCGUAACAAGGUAACCGUA
RNAcentral lists this ribosomal RNA (792 nucleotides) under uncultured euryarchaeote. RNAcentral's name for it is "bacterial SSU rRNA". It matches the Rfam family "Archaeal small subunit ribosomal RNA", at positions 658 to 1451 of the family's 1478-position model. Lineage: Archaea; Methanobacteriati; Methanobacteriota. The record is from RNAcentral.